Molecule: ribosomal RNA, 497 nt
Filed under: uncultured bacterium
Lineage: Bacteria
Description: partial 16S ribosomal RNA
Rfam family: Bacterial small subunit ribosomal RNA
Source: RNAcentral
GAUGAACGCUGGCGGCGUGCCUAAUACAUGCAAGUCGAGCGAACGGACGAGAAGCUUGCUUCUCUGAUGUUAGCGGCGGACGGGUGAGUAACACGUGGAUAACCUACCUAUAAGACUGGGAUAACUUCGGGAAACCGGAGCUAAUACCGGAUAAUAUUUUGAACCGCAUGGUUCAAAAGUGAAAGACGGUCUUGCUGUCACUUAUAGAUGGAUCCGCGCUGCAUUAGCUAGUUGGUAAGGUAACGGCUCACCAAGGCAACGAUGCAUAGCCUACCUGAGAGGGUGAUCGGCCACACUGGAACUGAGACACGGUCCAGACUCCUACGGGAGGCAGCAGUAGGGAAUCUUCCGCAAUGGGCGAAAGCCUGACGGAGCAACGCCGCGUGAGUGAUGAAGGUCUUCGGAUCGUAAAACUCUGUUAUUAGGGAAGAACAUAUGUGUAAGUAACUGUGCACAUCUUGACGGUACCUAAUCAGAAAGCCACGGCUAACUACGUG